AGUCGAACGAAAGUUUUUAACUUUAGUGGCGAACGGGUGCGUAAUACGUGAGAAUCUGCCCUUAGGAGAAGAAUAACUGCUGGAAACGGCUGCUAAAUCUUCAUAUGUCGAGAGAUGAAAUAAUUUUAUUGCCUAAGGAUGAGCUCACGCCUGAUUAGCUAGUUGGUGAGGUAAUGGCUCACCAAGGCCACGAUCAGUAGCUGGUUUGAGAGAACGAUCAGCCACACUGGGACUGAGACACGGCCCAGACUCCUCCGGGAGGCAGCAGUGAGGAAUUUUCCGCAAUGGGCGAAAGCCUGACGGAGCAAUACCGCGUGAGGGAUGAAGUAUUUUGGUAUGUAAACCUCUUUUCUCAAGAAAGAAGUUCUGACGGUACUUGAGGAAUAAGCAUCGGCUAACUCCGUGCCAGCAGCCGCGGUAAUACGGGGGAUGCAAGCGUUAUCCGGAAUCAUUGGGCGUAAAGCGCCUGUAGGUUGUUUAAUAAGUCUGUUGUUAAAGACUAGGGCUCAACCCUAGAAAAGCAAUGGAAACUACUAGACUAGAGUAUGGCAGGGGUAGAGGGAAUUUCUAGUGUAGCGGUGAAAUGCGUAGAUAUUAGAAAGAACACCGGUGGCGAAAGCGCUCUACUGGACCAUUACUGACACUCAGAGGCGAAAGCUAGGGUAGCAAAAGGGAUUAGAUACCCCUGUAGUCCUAGCCGUAAACGAUGGAUACUAGAUGUUGUGCAUAAAGUACAGUAUCGUAGCUAACGCGUUAAGUAUCCCGCCUGGGGAGUACGCUCGCAAGGGUGAAACUCAAAGGAAUUGACGGGGGCCCGCACAAGCGGUGG
This 829-nucleotide ribosomal RNA is filed under the name uncultured organism. RNAcentral describes it as "bacterial SSU rRNA". It matches the Rfam family "Bacterial small subunit ribosomal RNA", at positions 60 to 935 of the family's 1533-position model. The record is from RNAcentral.